RNAcentral lists this long non-coding RNA (244 nucleotides) under Phaseolus vulgaris (common bean). Its description in RNAcentral is "long non-coding RNA (PVUL_LNC004935)". Lineage: Eukaryota; Viridiplantae; Streptophyta; Magnoliopsida; Fabales; Fabaceae. The record is from RNAcentral.
GUUCCUGCAUGCUCCACCGAACCCGCGAAAGCCCGUUUCCGUUGCUGCUGCGCUUGCAAGUAACCCCGUUGUUGGUGCUCUUCCGUUGUUGUGGUUGUUUGAGGAAGAUGGAGAUUGGUUUGAGGAUCCAGAGUCAGGCAGUUUUGUUGGUUUGGGGUUUGCAGGUUUUAACAGAGGAUAGAGGUUUGGGUUAGUGAAAGGUGGAGAGUGGAGGCGUGCCAUUCAAUAUUUUGAGUUCCAUGCC